GAUGAACGCUGGCGGCGUGCCUAAUACAUGCAAGUCGAGCGAACAGACGAGGAUCUUGCUCCUCUGACGUUAGCGGCGGACGGGUGAGUAACACGUGGAUAACCUACCUAUAAGACUGGGAUAACUUCGGGAAACCGGAGCUAAUACCGGAUAAUAUAUUGAACCGCAUGGUUCAAUAGUGAAUGACGGUUUUGCUGUCACUUAUAGAUGGAUCCGCGCCGCAUUAGCUAGUUGGUAAGGUAACGGCUUACCAAGGCAACGAUGCGUAGCCGACCUGAGAGGGGGAUCGGACACACGGGAACUGAGACACGGACAAGAAGACUACGGGAGGAAGCAGAAGGGAAGAUUCCGCAAUGGGCGAAAGCCUGACGGAGCAACGCCGCGUGAGUGAUGAAGGUCUUCGGAGCGUAAAACUCUGUUAUUAGGGAAGAAAAAAUGUGUAAGUAACUAUGCACGUCUUGACGGUAACUAAUCAGAAAGCAACGGCUAACUACGUG
RNAcentral lists this ribosomal RNA (497 nucleotides) under uncultured bacterium. RNAcentral describes it as "partial 16S ribosomal RNA". It matches the Rfam family "Bacterial small subunit ribosomal RNA", at positions 28 to 507 of the family's 1533-position model. The record is from RNAcentral.